AUUUCCUAAAAACCUUUCUUGCCUCCUGAAGACAUUACCAUACCUUACAAUAAUCCAACCAGUUGUAUUUGUAGGAUUAAGCAAAAACAGAUGGGAAGACCUUCUAGUCACAGGGCAGUGGCUCCUCACAUUCAUGCAGCUUUAGGAUAAAACUCCUCUAUUCCACAUUGUUCUUGAAGAGAACUGGGGCUGGGAGAAUCCAAAGCAGAGUCAGGCAGUGAACUAAAAAUGAUGUGGACAUUCAAAAAGUUCAAUACUCAAAUGAGAGUUCUGGUAUUCUUUUCUUAAGCAGUAAAUGUAAAGAUAGUGAUUUGUUAAAUGUUAAGGAUGUAUCCUUCGAUUCCAAGGCAAAGAUACAAGAGAAGAUGGGGAUGAAAACUUACGUUGCUGAAAUGUGAUCUGCCUGGCCUGAUGCACUGUCCCAAGGAAAAGGGAACCCUGAAGGUGGCCAGGGUCAUCUCAGCAGACUGAAAACUGAUUGAAACCUCAGAGGAGAACUAAGUAUCAGCCAAAAAUUACUUGAAAAUGAGCCUGCAUUUUGCUCAAAUAAGUUAAUGAACCUCUGUGAACUUUCAAGACUGGGCUGAAUUUCAAGAUUGGAACAAUGCUCAAAGCCAGCUUACCAAGGGAUGUGUGUUUGUGUGUGUGUGAAGUGGGGAGACAGAGACACAAAGAGGGCUGAAAAUUCAGCAGAUUUUCUGUUUCAGCUGCAGCUUCUGUCUUCCACUCAUGCUGCAACAAGAAGGGAAGAAAAUCUGUCUACCAUUAUAUGCUGAUACAGUUAAAUGCACAAGCUGGCUAGCAUUUCCAUGGGUUGGCUGCAAGUCAGGAAGGUACCCGUAAAAUAGAAAAAUAAAAAUCUGUGUGUGCAUGCAUUUGUGUAUGUGUGUGUAUGUACAUAGAUAUAGAUAAAAUACAAAAUAACCGGGACAUGGCAAUUAUUUUUCUCCUGGUUUUAAAAUGGAUUCCACUCUGUUAUCAUUGCCAAAAUAAAAUAAAAUAAACCAAGUGUUUCUUUCAAGACAUCUUGCAGUCUUUAUCAUGUCAAUAAACAUACACUGGAAAACCAAAGAGAAACAAUUGGUGUUUUUAGCAGAGA
Molecule: long non-coding RNA, 1099 nt
Organism: Oxyura jamaicensis (ruddy duck)
Lineage: Eukaryota; Metazoa; Chordata; Aves; Anseriformes; Anatidae
Exons: 5
Source: RefSeq, a predicted model, not a curated record